RNAcentral lists this ribosomal RNA (433 nucleotides) under uncultured bacterium. RNAcentral describes it as "partial 16S ribosomal RNA". It matches the Rfam family "Bacterial small subunit ribosomal RNA", at positions 29 to 507 of the family's 1533-position model. The record is from RNAcentral.
AACGAACGCUGGCGGCAUGCCUAACACAUGCAAGUCGAACGAGACCUUCGGGUCUAGUGGCGCACGGGUGCGUAACGCGUGGGAACCUGCCCUUAGGUUCGGAAUAACUCCCCGAAAGGGGUGCUAAUACCGGAUAAUGUCUUCGGACCAAAGAUUUAUCGCCUUUGGAUGGGCCCGCGUUGGAUUAGCUAGUUGGUAGGGUAAAAGCCUACCAAGGCGACGAUCCAUAGCUGGUCUGAGAGGAUGAUCAGCCACACUGGGAGUGAGACACGGCCCAGACUCCUACGGGAGGCAGCAGAGGGGAAUAGUGGACAAUGGGCGAAAGCCUGAUCCAGCAAGGCCGCGUGAGUGAUGAAGGCCUUAGGGUUGUAAAGCUCUUUUACCCGGGAUGAUAAUGACGGUACCGGGAGAAUAAGCUCCGGCUAACUCCGUG